This 209-nucleotide long non-coding RNA is filed under the name Homo sapiens (human). Its description in RNAcentral is "LHRI_LNC151.1". Lineage: Eukaryota; Metazoa; Chordata; Mammalia; Primates; Hominidae. The record is from RNAcentral.
GUGAGCACUGCAUACUGUGAUAGACUUUUCUUCUUUUUGAAUUUUGAAAAGUAAAAAGAAUAAACACACAAUUUAGCAUACCCAAUCAGUAGGACAUGUGGCUUCACCACCUACUGAUGUCAAGAUGCCUUCCAGGUUGGUUAACAAAUAAACAAGCAAACAGGAAGCAAAAGCCACAAAGAUUAGUAUCAUAAAAUCGCAUUUCUACC